This 348-nucleotide ribosomal RNA is filed under the name uncultured bacterium. RNAcentral describes it as "bacterial SSU rRNA". It matches the Rfam family "Bacterial small subunit ribosomal RNA", at positions 71 to 422 of the family's 1533-position model. The record is from RNAcentral.
AAAGGCCCUUCGGGGUACUCGAGCGGCGAACGGGUGAGUAACACGUGAGCAAUCUGCCCCUAGCAUCGGGAUAGCUCCGGGAAACCGGAAUUAAUACCGAAUACGACUACGGCUGACAUCAGCCGUGGUGGAAAGCUUUUGCGGAUAGGGAUGAGCUCGCGGCCUAUCAGCUUGUUGGUGGGGUAAUGGCCUACCAAGGCGACGACGGGUAGCCGGCCUGAGAGGGCGACCGGCCACACUGGGACUGAGACACGGCCCAGACUCCUACGGGAGGCAGCAGUGGGGAAUCUUGCGCAAUGGGCGAAAGCCUGACGCAGCGACGCCGCGUGCGGGAUGAAGGCCUUCGGG